UGACCCAGUGGUUCUUGAGAAUGUGAAGAUAACAAAAGUGAUCGAUCUCAUAACUCCUAUAAGCAACACAAGAUAGAGAGUUGGGCAAACACGGACCCCUGGAUAUACCAGAGGUGGGAUCAGGUGCCUAGGGUAAGUAAGCAUCCUGUGUCGACCGGUCACACCCGCCGUGAGUCAUAUAUCUUGAUCAGGUAAACGGAGUUAUCCGUAUUCAAAGUCAGUGUGCCAAGAACGGGAGGCUUUCAGGUAAAUAUCCACUUUUCUAGCCCAGUGAUUUUUGAGAAGAUUUUUUAAAAUGAACAUACCCUACCGGUAUUUUUGCAUUUUUGUGAUUAUUUCCCCUAUGGCCCUUCAUUUCAUCAAACUUGAAACCCUUUUACCGAAGGAUGCUUUGUGUCAAGUUUGGUUGAAAUUGGCCCAGUGGUUCUAAAGAAGAAGAUGAAAAUGGGAAAAGUUUACGACGCCGACAGACAACGGACAAAUUUUGAUCAGAAAAGUUCACUUGAGCCUUCGGUUCAGGUGAGCUAAAAGGACUGGUGUCAUUUCUUGCCGAUUUAAAGCUAUGUCUGUUAACCGUCUAAAUAGCCCUACAAGCAUGAGAGGAAGCCCAACAGAAUGUCUAAAUUCAGGUUUGAAAGAGCAAACACAGCUACUGAGAGGUACAUGUAUUUACUAAUGACACGGUAUUGUAGUAACAGAAUACACAGAUAAGACCACCGAUGAUCUUACCUCUGGAAGUCCAAACUGGACACGUGACUAUCACUUGAUUUAUCUUCUGAUAAUUUAGUAGUCUUUUACAUGUCGAAAGUCGGACUAUACGGCUUUAAUUAUUUCAGGGUUUACUUCUUAAAUAGUCAUAUACUUUCACAAGCGAUUUGGCCGCUGUGGCGUUGAGAGCGAUGUUUACACACGCUGUGGGGUCGUCUUCUUCACACAACCCGUCGACUACCUGAAGAACAUUACACUCCUGAAACUUGCGUUUCAGAAAAAUUUGUGUGCACUGAGAUCCAUCGACUGAAGUUAAUUCAUGAAAUUCAGCUGAUGUAAAUUUGGGGUGACUGUGAAGUUUUUCCAGCCAUAAUGGAUAUCAGUUGAACUGACAUUAAAAAUCACCAGAGAGCGACCCAGAAAAGGUGGCUAAAAUCGUAAUGAAAUGCAGACAAACUUAUUUAUCUAUAACUGAUUGUAGAUUGUUUAAGGAAUACCUGUAAUUAUCCACAUAAUUUAUAAAGUAAUUUUUGAUAGAAUGUUGUUUAUUUAUCAGAUUUAAUUCAACUACCUCUUAUUUGAAGCGUUUGUCGUCUAUGCCCGUAGUAUCAAUAUUGCCAAAGGAAUUACUACAAUAAAAUGAACAGUUUACAUCGAA
Molecule: long non-coding RNA, 1366 nt
Organism: Ostrea edulis (European flat oyster)
Lineage: Eukaryota; Metazoa; Mollusca; Bivalvia; Ostreida; Ostreidae
Exons: 2
Source: RefSeq, a predicted model, not a curated record